UACGUAGGUGGCGAGCGUUGUCCGGAAUUACUAGGUGUAAAGGGCGUGUAGGCGGGUUUGAAAGUCAGAUGUGAAAGCCCAUGGCUUAACCAUGGAACUGCAACUGAAACUUCGAAUCUUGAGUACUGGAGAGGAAAGCGGAAUUCCUAGUGUAGCGGUGAAAUGCGUAGAUAUUAGGAGGAACACCAGUGGCGAAGGCGGCUUUCUGGACAGAAACUGACGCUGAGGCGCGAAAGCGUGGGGAGCAAACAGG
This 253-nucleotide ribosomal RNA is filed under the name uncultured bacterium. RNAcentral's name for it is "partial 16S ribosomal RNA". It matches the Rfam family "Bacterial small subunit ribosomal RNA", at positions 524 to 776 of the family's 1533-position model. The record is from RNAcentral.